This 253-nucleotide ribosomal RNA is filed under the name uncultured bacterium. Its description in RNAcentral is "partial 16S ribosomal RNA". It matches the Rfam family "Bacterial small subunit ribosomal RNA", at positions 524 to 776 of the family's 1533-position model. The record is from RNAcentral.
UACGAAGGGGGCUAGCGUUGCUCGGAAUCACUGGGCGUAAAGCGCACGUAGGCGGAUUGCUAAGUCAGGGGUGAAAUCCUGGAGCUCAACUCCAGAACUGCCUUUGAUACUGGCAAUCUCGAGUCCGGGAGAGGUGAGUGGAACUGCGAGUGUAGAGGUGAAAUUCGUAGAUAUUCGCAAGAACACCAGUGGCGAAGGCGGCUCACUGGCCCGGUACUGACGCUGAGGUGCGAAAGCGUGGGGAGCAAACAGG